RNAcentral lists this ribosomal RNA (207 nucleotides) under uncultured bacterium. RNAcentral's name for it is "partial 16S ribosomal RNA". It matches the Rfam family "Bacterial small subunit ribosomal RNA", at positions 568 to 774 of the family's 1533-position model. The record is from RNAcentral.
CAUGUAGGCGGCUAUUUAAGUCGAUUGUGAAAGCCCUCGGCUUAACUGAGGAAUUGCAAUCGAUACUGAAUUGCUUGAGUGCAGGAGAGGAAAGCGGAAUUCCCGGUGUAAGAGUGAAAUCUGUAGAGAUCGGGAGGAACACCAGUGGCGAAAGCGGCUUUCUGGCCCGCAACUGACGCUGAAAUGCGAAAGCUAGGGGAGCAAACA